Molecule: ribosomal RNA, 128 nt
Filed under: Staphylococcus aureus
Lineage: Bacteria; Bacillati; Bacillota; Bacilli; Caryophanales; Staphylococcaceae
Description: partial 23S ribosomal RNA
Rfam family: Bacterial large subunit ribosomal RNA
Source: RNAcentral
CUCAAGAUGAGAUUUCCCAACUUCGGUUAUAAGAUCCCUCAAAGAUGAUGAGGUUAAUAGGUUCGAGGUGGAAGCAUGGUGACAUGUGGAGCUGACGAAUACUAAUCGAUCGAAGACUUAAUCAAAUU